Molecule: long non-coding RNA, 2435 nt
Filed under: Sus scrofa (pig)
Lineage: Eukaryota; Metazoa; Chordata; Mammalia; Artiodactyla; Suidae
Description: lncRNA (ENSSSCG00035056496.1)
Source: RNAcentral
GACAUGGCCCAUGAUGGAGGGGAGUUGACUGGAAGCACAUCAAGUGUCCUGUGUCCUUAUCAACACUACACUACCCACCAAUCAGCACUGGGAUUUCUUCAACGUUUGUUACCGGGCUUCUUCAUGAACAAUGGUCUGAGGAGAUAUGUAAGCGAUGAUGUGGGAAGAAAUCAGUGACGAUCUCCAAGAAACAAAGCUCAUUUCCAUUUCUAUGAAUAGGACCAUUUGCGUUACCUUGAACCAGAAACAUCGUCACCGCCAGCAGCCCUCUACAAGGUCAGAAAAAUAACUACAUCGUGUACAUUCGUUUCCUGUGGGAGAAAAAGAGCAAGGUUGGGCGACCUUCCCCUGGCUCUCCCCCACUCCUCUCCCCUACAGCUCUCAGGGGUCCUGCUCCCCUCCCCCGCUUUCUGAAGGUGGGUGCUCCUCUGCUUGGUCAGCUCCGGCUGCUCUAACAAAGCAGGUAGGCUGAUGGCGUCAACAACAGCACUUUGUUUCUCGCAGUUUUGUACAACGGGAAGUCCAAGAUCAAGGUGCUGGCGGGGUGGGUUUUAUUCUAAGGUUUCCUCUCUUGGCUGGCAAGCUGCUGCCCCCUUGCUGUGUGCCCAUGUGACUGCUUCUUUAUGUGUGAGCACCAGGCAGGUGUGGGUGGGAACAAGCUCUCCGGUGUUUCUUCUUAAAGGGCCCUAAUCCCAUCAGAAUUGUCAACCACAGGCCCCAUCUCCAAAUACCAUCACUUUGAGGGCAAGGGCUUCAACAUAUAAAUUUGGAGGAGACACAAACAUUCAUGUCUAUUGGCCUCUCAAUAGAAGAGCUAGUGAAUUUUUUUAUCCUCACUGGUUCAAGGCAGUUAUUUCCUGUGAGUUUGUGUCGUUGUGUUUAAUACAUACAAAGGAAACUUCCAACUCUAUUUGUUUAUUGCUAGUAACCUAAAUUAAAUGGAGAAAAUCUAGUCUAAAUACUGACCACAUGACCCAUCACAAGUAGAAUUGGAAAUAAUGUUCAGAUGACAUAAAGAUAGGUAUCAACCCUACUGGGUGAAAAAAAAGAACUAAAAGGAUAUAUGUAUUCUGAAAUCAGGAGAAACAAGUGUUACUCUUUUGAUAUUACCUUCCUUUGAAGUGGCAAUUUGAAGGUCUUCCCGUGUGUGCCAUACUGCAAAACACUUUCGGAGUAUGUUAAACAUGUCACAGUGUCCUUAGAGAAUGUCACCGCAUCCUUAGAACAGAUAAUCAAAUUUGCCAUGUAAGAAACUUUCAAUUUUAUUCAUUAUUGUUAUUUGUUACACAUGUAAUAGGGACUAUUGUAGGGUUAUUUGAAAAUAUAAAAAACACAAGCUAACUGGACAAAGAUAUCCAUCCAUUAUUACCAUUUUAUUAUUUAUGCAUAUCUUCUCUCUCUCCACACAGAGACACAUAUAUACACAUAUACAAGUGUGUACAUUAUGUAUUUUGACACACGUAUUUAAGAGAAAUAUAACAAUACAUAUAGUGCUAUAAUCCGUUAUUCUCUCUUAUUAAUAUAUGAUAGACUUUCAAAUCAAGAAAUGAACUUUUUAUCAUAGCUUUAUGUAACUUGUUGCAGGACAUUUAGAUUGCCAUGUCUUAUCUCUAAGUUAACAAAGUUGUGAUGAACAGACUUCGUAUAUAUUUGCUCACUUGAACAGCUAUACUUAGAAUAAAUGCCUAGCAGUCGACUUGCUGGGAUAGAAGAAAUAAACACAAAUCUGUUUGCUAAAUACUGCAGAAUUUCUCUGAACAAAUUUUAAAGUUUGAAUUCCUCUAGCAAUGCAUGCAAAUUUGUAUUUUCCUGUGUACAUAACAAUAAUAUUAUGUAAAAUUUACUUUCCUUGUUUGCCAAUCAAAAAAAUAUUUAGUUUGUAUUAUUUUGAUUACCAGUGAGGCUUAAUAUUUCUACAUGUUUAAUGACUAUUUAAAUUUCUUAUUCCCUAGAAUUAUCCUUUCAUAUCUCUUAUUGCCAUUUUUGUCUUGAAAUAGUUGUUUUUUCUUGGCUUGUAUGAAGUAUUUUCCUAUUGUUGAUUUUAUUCUUUUAUCAUUUAAAAAUGUUUUCAAUUAUAGAGAGUUUGAAACAGAAACAAAAGUGAACGGAAUACUUGGUUAGUAAGGAAUGGUAUAUUUUGUAAAUAUUUCCAUAUAUGAAUUUCUUUUAAAAUUUACUAUGAGUUCCCUUCAUGGCUCAGUGGUUAACAAAUCUGUCUAGGAACCAUGAGGUUGUGGGUUCAACUCCUGUCCUCGUUCAGUGGGUUAAGGAUCUUGCGUUGUUGUGAGCUGUGGUGUAGGUUGCAGAUGUGGCUCAGAUCUGGCCAUUGCUGUGGCUCUGGCGUAGGCUGGUGGCUACAGCUCGGAUUAGACCCCUAGCCUUGGAAGUUCCAUCUGCCCCGGGUGCGGCCCUAGAAAAGACAAAAAAAAAAAAAA